Anolis carolinensis (green anole) is the source of this 1245-nucleotide long non-coding RNA. RefSeq lists it as uncharacterized. The record is from RefSeq and is a predicted model, not a curated record. NCBI's taxonomy places the organism in Eukaryota, Metazoa, Chordata, Lepidosauria, Squamata, Anolidae. The transcript has 5 exons.
UGCCCUGAUGCCAUCACUCUUAUAUAUAUAUAGAUUUGAAGACUCUACCUCUAUGGCUUUAAUAUGGCGCAAUUUAGAGCCAUAACCCUCAACACUUCACAGAUAGAAACUGAAGCCUUGGCUAAGCAAUAUCAGAAUGUUGUUGGACUGAAAAUCCCAGCAGCUCUUGCCAGUGGUGAGAAGUGAUAAGCAGUCUAGUCCAACCACAUCUAGUGGCCAGCCACUUCUAGAAUUUCUUUUUCGUAAAAAAAUCAUUUUAUUCUAAUCCAACAAACAUUAACAAGCAAAAUAAGAACACAAAAUAAAUUGUUGGGUAACAAUAAAGUAGAGCUAGACACAUUACAUCUUUUUGGAAUCUUAUUAAACUGUCUCAAGAACUCUCUCACCAAAGAUAGUCAUGUCAUUUCUAUACUUUCAUUUGCAAUAUAUACUGAAGAUGUUCUGAAAAAGAAGCGGCACCAGUCUUAAAACCCCUUCUGACUCUUGAACAAGCAAUAGUCUGUCUGCAACCUGUGAUACAAGCAGGGAUCAAUCCUCCAAGUGUGAGCUAUGUUUAGAUACCAACCAGAAGGUUGGUGUCUAUUUCAGUGCAGACAUCUUCCCCACUCAGCAGUUCAGUCUGUUUAUCCAGCAUAUGGCAACUUCUCUGCCAGAGACGGUUCAAAGAGAAAACCAGGGACAUCAGUCUAACAACUGAGAAACCUAAACUGCCUUGCAUGAAUACUAGUGGAUAUUUACCACAAAGGAGAAGAUUGACUCAGGUGCUUGGGUGGAUGAAGGACUCCAGAAAGAAAGCAGGUUUCUAGGAAAGACAGAAGAGGAGAAUGGAAGGAUGGAGGAAGCACUGGAUGAGCCAAUGGUCGGACUUGAAGACAUCACUGAGGAAAAGAUGGAAACAGAAACAUCCAAGCAACAAGUGGAAAAUCCUGCAAGAUGAUAUGAAAUAUUUCCAAAUGUGGUGUUUUGAAGGAGGAAACAAUGAAAUAGUGCAAAACAGGCAUGAUCUCCAGUUACUUCCAGGUUGCAAUUUUUUUUACUUUUACUGUCAUGGAGGCAAAAAGGCAAAUAUUGCUCUUCCUACAAGUGUCCACCUCUGUUGCAAAAACAACAAGAAAAAUAUGACUGUCCCAUUGGCAGUUGAACACAAAAGGAAAGAAGCCAUUUCAACACAACAUGAAAUGUGUAGGAUGGCAGGAAGAGACCAUGAGUUAUUGCUUUGAGAGAGUUAUGUCCACUUACCUGUAU